UACGAAGGGGGCUAGCGUUGCUCGGAAUUACUGGGCGUAAAGCGUGCGCAGGCGGUUGUGCAAGACAGAUGUGAAAUCCCCGGGCUUAACCUGGGAACUGCAUUUGUGACUGCACGGCUAGAGUGUGUCAGAGGGGGGUAGAAUUCCACGUGUAGCAGUGAAAUGCGUAGAUAUGUGGAGGAAUACCGAUGGCGAAGGCAGCCCCCUGGGAUAACACUGACGCUCAUGCACGAAAGCGUGGGGAGCAAACAGG
This 253-nucleotide ribosomal RNA is filed under the name uncultured bacterium. RNAcentral describes it as "partial 16S ribosomal RNA". It matches the Rfam family "Bacterial small subunit ribosomal RNA", at positions 524 to 776 of the family's 1533-position model. The record is from RNAcentral.